GCUGGCGGCAGGCUUAACAAUGCAAGUCGAGCGGGCGUAGCAAUACGUCAGCGGCAGACGGGUGAGUAACGCGUGGGAACAUACCUUUUGGUUCGGAACAACCCAGGGAAACUUGGGCUAAUACCGGAUAAGCCCUUACGGGGAAAGAUUUAUCGCCGAAAGAUUGGCCCGCGUCUGAUUAGCUAGUUGGUGAGGUAACGGCUCACCAAGGCGACGAUCAGUAGCUGGUCUGAGAGGAUGAUCAGCCACAUUGGGACUGAGACACGGCCCAAACUCCUACGGGAGGCAGCAGUGGGGAAUAUUGGACAAUGGGCGCAAGCCUGAUCCAGCCAUGCCGCGUGAGUGAUGAAGGCCCUAGGGUUGUAAAGCUCUUUUGUGCGGGAAGAUAAUGACGGUACCGCAAGAAUAAGCCCCGGCUAACUUCGUGCCAGCAGCCGCGGUAAUACGAAGGGGGCUAGCGUUGCUCGGAAUCACUGGGCGUAAAGGGUGCGUAGGCGGGUCUUUAAGUCAGGGGUGAAAUCCUGGAGCUCAACUCCAGAACUGCCUUUGAUACUG
Molecule: ribosomal RNA, 555 nt
Filed under: uncultured soil bacterium
Lineage: Bacteria
Description: bacterial SSU rRNA
Rfam family: Bacterial small subunit ribosomal RNA
Source: RNAcentral